AGUGAACGCUGGCGGUAGGCCUAACACAUGCAAGUCGAACGGCAGCACAGUAAGAGCUUGCUCUUACGGGUGGCGAGUGGCGGACGGGUGAGGAAUACAUCGGAAUCUACUUUUUCGUGGGGGAUAACGUAGGGAAACUUACGCUAAUACCGCAUACGACCUACGGGUGAAAGCAGGGGAUCUUUGGACCUUGCGCGAUUGAAUGAGCCGAUGUCGGAUUAGCUAGUUGGCGGAGUAAAGGCCCACCAAGGCGACGAUCCGUAGCUGGUCUGAGAGGAUGAUCAGCCACACUGGAACUGAGACACGGUCCAGACUCCUACGGGAGGCAGCAGUGGGGAAUAUUGGACAAUGGGCGCAAGCCUGAUCCAGCCAUACCGCGUGGGUGAAGAAGGCCUUCGGGUUGUAAAGCCCUUUUGUUGGGAAAGAAAAGCAGCAGGUUAAUACCCCGCUGUUCUGACGGUACCCAAAGAAUAAGCACCGGCUAACUUCGUG
This 492-nucleotide ribosomal RNA is filed under the name uncultured bacterium. RNAcentral describes it as "partial 16S ribosomal RNA". It matches the Rfam family "Bacterial small subunit ribosomal RNA", at positions 29 to 507 of the family's 1533-position model. The record is from RNAcentral.